Ictidomys tridecemlineatus (thirteen-lined ground squirrel) is the source of this 1337-nucleotide non-coding RNA. NCBI's taxonomy places the organism in Eukaryota, Metazoa, Chordata, Mammalia, Rodentia, Sciuridae. The record is from RefSeq and is a predicted model, not a curated record.
CUCCCCACAGGUGAGGUCUGUGGUUCUUUUCUUCAGUGUUGAACUUAGGUUCUCCAUAGCACUGUCUCUGAACUAGAGAUGUCCCAAGUGCCAAGCUUUGGAUCUUGUGAUCAUGCAGAACAAGGGAAUAAGUGAAAGAGGAUAGGGGAGAAAGGAUGGAGAGGAAGUUCAAAUCACCAAAAGAAACAUAACAGUUUCUUUGUUGCAAAAGAGGACACGAAUGACUAAUCUCAUAGAGAUACUGAGAAACUGAGGAGAAACUCCGUGUCAACUCCAUGGAUGGUAUGGGCACAACAAGAGUGCUCAGAAACGCCAGCUUUGACAACGGGGCAGGACUUGACUUUGUGUGUAGCUUUCAGAGGAGAUGAGGAAGGUGAAGAAUACCCAGGGCCUGCAUCUUUGUUCCUGGGGUCCUGUCCACAUGGGACAGAUAGUCCACCCAAAAGUUAGCAAGCCACUUAAUUUAAUUGAGAAAAGGAAAGCAAUUUUUUUUCUUCAUCCAUCAUCUGGCUGUUUAGGGUUUUAAUAUCAGAUGCAAUUUCUAAUUACUUUCUUGUGAAACAAAUGGCUAGCAACAUCUACCUUUCAGAUCUGAGAGAAUGAAAUCUUAAAUGGGUUAAAUAACUUAUGCCCAAUCCUACAUUGAGAUCAUUGAAGAGAAGGAGCCUGACCUCUGACCUUAUAAACUAUAGGGCUAGGCCCCCUAAUAAAUCUCCUCCCUCCCUGUCACUCACUGUCUAGCAAGAUCCUUCUCCCACUGUGGUUGAGCUGGUCAUACAGGAUGAAAUGAUUUUAUUAGAACAAGCCAUGCUCAGAAACAGAAAUGUCACCUCAGAUAUCUUCUGGGAUAUUUAUUUUAAUACAAAGGUUAGUUCUAUCUACAAUGGGCAAAUACUAAGCCAUCGAUUCUCUGAGGCUUCCCUGACAGCCAAGAAUGGAAGCAGAUCAAGAAGCUAGCUCUGAAGAGUCAGCAGAAGGGCAUGGGGGGCAUCUGGCACCCCUUUUAAUGGUACAUUGAAGUCCUGACUGCUGAAUACAGGGGGGAAAAAAACAAAAAAGAUUAAUGGGCCAGAGUCUCUGGAGGAUUCAUGGCCGACAGACAUGAGCUGCUUGUUCCCGUUUAGUAUCUCUGCAUCUUCCUGACGGCUGAAUUUUACUAUUUGACUCCUUCCAUCCCUUUUAACAACAGGCUGCACAUAAAAUAAAAUCUAUUGAAUCUGAGAUGAAGCCCUAGGCUGAUGCUUUAUGAGAUAUUCUGGAACAUUUUUCCAAGUUUAUUUACAAGAGGGGAGUCUUUAUAUUCCACUUAUUGGACAUAUUAAUUGUUUUUGUUUUUG